UAUAUUCUGCGGGCCUAGCAUGGCGAUUCUAUCUCUAUUCUACCAAGAAACGACAAAGCUCUUUCUUUCCCACUCGACAUGUCUUCUACCCGAGCAUGGCGCGAGCUGUAGACUCGCGUUUCUAUCAAGAGAAAGACUUUCCAUAGCAACGGAUAAGUAGCUAGUGAUGGGUCGCUCUACGAUGAAUUUACGUUUAGUUAGCCAAAAAAAUGUGUCAAUGCACUAUUUUUCACGCAUGAACCUAUACAUAAACUCACGUAACUCAAAGUAACAACAAAACGUAUUCAUCGAACUUAUUUUUAUCUGUGGAACUAAAAUGGUUCAUGUUUGUUUGUUUACAAAAAACGAUUUUUGUUGUUGAUUUUACUUAUUUAAAUAUUGGUGAUUACUGCGUGCGGCAAGGAAAAACGUACGAAGUCCCAUCCAAUAAACAGAGAAGAUAGUAUCGCGAUCCAUUGGGAAAAGAAGGCCACGAUAAAGAAGAAUAGGUCCGUAUUCAAAAGCUGCUG
Long non-coding RNA from Helicoverpa zea (corn earworm), 509 nucleotides. RefSeq lists it as uncharacterized. Lineage: Eukaryota; Metazoa; Arthropoda; Insecta; Lepidoptera; Noctuidae. The transcript is spliced from 2 exons. The record is from RefSeq and is a predicted model, not a curated record.